CUCCCUAGCAGUGGGCAAAGAGACACCUUGGUGAGUGGUGGUGUUCUUAUAUCAGUCAGGGGCAAAGCAAAAAGUAGCCCUUUGUUCACCCUGGCUUGAUGCCUGAUUUGGUGGCCAAAGCUGUUUCAUGCCUACGGUACAUUU
Molecule: small nucleolar RNA, 144 nt
Filed under: Mesocricetus auratus (golden hamster)
Lineage: Eukaryota; Metazoa; Chordata; Mammalia; Rodentia; Cricetidae
Description: Small nucleolar RNA SNORA48
Rfam family: Small nucleolar RNA SNORA48
About the family: The snoRNA ACA 48 has been identified to guide pseudouridylation of the residue U3797 in the 28S rRNA subunit. Its host gene EIF4A1 (eukaryotic translation initiation factor 4A1) is shared with U67 and snoRNA mgU6-77
Source: Rfam by way of RNAcentral